CAGUCGCCGCGGUAAUACGUAGGGUGCGAGCGUUGUCCGGAAUUAUUGGGCGUAAAGGGCUCGUAGGCGGUUUGUCGCGUCGGGAGUGAAAUCCACUGGCUUAACUGGUGGCUUGCUUUCGAUACGGGCAGACUGGAGGUAUGCAGGGGAGAACGGAAUUCCUGGUGUAGCGGUGAAAUGCGCAGAUAUCAGGAGGAACACCGGUGGCGAAGGCGGUUCUCUGGGCAUGUCCUGACGCUGAGGAGCGAAAGUGUGGGGAGCGAACAGGAUUAGAUACCCGUGUAGUCCCUGUCUCUUAUAC
This 301-nucleotide ribosomal RNA is filed under the name uncultured bacterium. RNAcentral describes it as "partial 16S ribosomal RNA". It matches the Rfam family "Bacterial small subunit ribosomal RNA", at positions 509 to 807 of the family's 1533-position model. The record is from RNAcentral.